GCUUUCAAACACUUAAACCAAAAAGUGUGUUUUUGGUCCAACGUAAUAACACCAAAAUGGAUGAGAAGCAGGGACCAACUUCUGAUGAUGUCCCAACUGGGGAGGUAACGUCAACCACAGUUACAGAGGGUGAUGUUGUCAAGAUGCCAACAGAUGUGGCCAUCACUAUGGAUGCUAUUCCCAAUGAAGAUGAGGAGGACAAAUCCAAAGGUCUUGACCCACAAGAUAACCAUUCUACCAGCACCUCUGACG
Molecule: long non-coding RNA, 252 nt
Filed under: Patiria miniata (bat star)
Lineage: Eukaryota; Metazoa; Echinodermata; Asteroidea; Valvatida; Asterinidae
Description: uncharacterized LOC119743117, transcript variant X3
Source: RNAcentral